UUUGAUCAUGGCUCAGGACGAACGCUGGCGGCGUGCAUAAUACAUGCAAGUCGAGCGGAGCUUAUCCUUCGGGAUAAGCUUAGCGGCGGACGGGUGAGUAACACGUAGGCAACCUGCCCAUUAGCCUGGGAUAACUACCGGAAACGGUAGCUAAUACCGGAUAAUCCCUUUCCUCGCCUGAGGGAAGGAUAAAAGGCGGAGCAAUCUGCUGAUAAGGGAUGGGCCUGCGGCGCAUUAGCUAGUUGGUGAGGUAACGGCUCACCAAGGCGACGAUGCGUAGCCGACCUGAGAGGGUGAACGGCCACACUGGGACUGAGACACGGCCCAGACUCCUACGGGAGGCAGCAGUAGGGAAUCUUCCGCAAUGGGCGAAAGCCUGACGGAGCAACGCCGCGUGAGUGAUGAAGGUUUUCGGAUCGUAAAGCUCUGUUGCCAGGGAAGAACGUCCGGUAGAGUAACUGCUACCGGAGUGACGGUACCUGAGAAGAAAGCCCCGGCUAACUACGUGCCAGCAGCCGCGGUAAUACGUAGGGGGCAAGCGUUGUCCGGAAUUAUUGGGCGUAAAGCGCGCGCAGGCGGCUAUUUAAGUCUGGUGUUUAAACCUUGGGCUCAACCUGAGGUCGCACUGGAAACUGGGUGGCUUGAGUACAGAAGAGGAAAGUGGAAUUCCACGUGUAGCGGUGAAAUGCGUAGAGAUGUGGAGGAACACCAGUGGCGAAGGCGACUUUCUGGGCUGUAACUGACGCUGAGGCGCGAAAGCGUGGGGAGCAAACCGGAUUAGAUACCCUGGUAGUCCACGCCGUAAACGACGCUUUCUGGUGUUAGGGGUUUCGAUACC
This 838-nucleotide ribosomal RNA is filed under the name Paenibacillus sp. SBPL-06. RNAcentral describes it as "bacterial SSU rRNA". It matches the Rfam family "Bacterial small subunit ribosomal RNA", at positions 12 to 838 of the family's 1533-position model. Lineage: Bacteria; Bacillati; Bacillota; Bacilli; Caryophanales; Paenibacillaceae. The record is from RNAcentral.